GACGAACGCUGGCGGCGUGCUUAACACAUGCAAGUCGAACGGAAAGGCCCUGCUUUUGUGGGGUGCUCGAGUGGCGAACGGGUGAGUAACACGUGAGUAACCUGCCCUUGACUUUGGGAUAACUUCAGGAAACUGGGGCUAAUACCGGAUAGGAGCUCCUGCUGCAUGGUGGGGGUUGGAAAGUUUCGGCGGUUGGGGAUGGACUCGCGGCUUAUCAGCUUGUUGGUGGGGUAGUGGCUUACCAAGGCUUUGACGGGUAGCCGGCCUGGGAGGGUGACCGGCCACAUUGGGACUGAGAGACGGCCCAGACUCCUACGGGAGGCAGCAGUGGGGAAUAUUGCACAAUGGGCGGAAGCCUGAUGCAGAAACGCCGCGUGCGGGAUGACGGCCUUCGGGUUGUAAACCGCUUUCGCCUGUGACGAAGCGUGAGUGACGGUAAUGGGUAAAGAAGCACCGGCUAACUACGUG
Molecule: ribosomal RNA, 468 nt
Filed under: uncultured bacterium
Lineage: Bacteria
Description: partial 16S ribosomal RNA
Rfam family: Bacterial small subunit ribosomal RNA
Source: RNAcentral